Molecule: non-coding RNA, 31 nt
Filed under: Homo sapiens (human)
Lineage: Eukaryota; Metazoa; Chordata; Mammalia; Primates; Hominidae
Source: RNAcentral
GAGUAAAGCUGAUCCAUUGACAGGACAAAUU